GGGGCGAAGUCAAUGAGGGCGGAGGUAAGGCACGAGGAGAGGCUAUAAGACGACUUAAGAAAUAAGAAAGAAGGUUGUCCAGCGGCUGGUGCACCGGGGGUGUUAGGCGCCAGGAUCAGAGUGUGACGCGCCAGACCUGGCAGCGCGUGGAGACCGUACUGGAGUUUGGAUUUAUCCCCCAAUCACGGGGGAAAGACUCAACUCAGAGAUUAGCUCCCGGGAAGGCAGCCGAAAAGCCUCGGCUGGAGCGGAACUAGGGGCUGUCCCCCGGUUAAAGACCUCCAAGUCCGGGUACCCGAAUGCCCGGCAAACUGCAGCUUUGGGUAAAACCAUUCUCCGGAGUCGGAGAGGGGAGAAAAGCCCAGUACUCCGAGCCGAAGUCCGCGGAAACAGCGGCAACAUCCACUCUCUUCUCCUCGCUCUUCUCUUACUUUUUGUGCUCUGGCCCGCCCCCAUAAACUUGUCCCGCCGCGCAUCCCCUCGCCCCGGGCACCACCAUUUGCUCCUCUCGGCCGCCCCUCCCGCGCGUGGUACGGCCCGCGGGCGCACAUCCAGACACAGGUUGUAAAGCCCCAGCUGCGCGAGUCAACAGGGACUCAACAUGCGCCGUAAAGUGUCGGGGCCGGGUUCUGCCGGGCACCGGCUGGGACCUGGGGAUCCCGCGGCAGUAGCCAUAACUCCUCUAUCCGCAACCAAUCCGACUUCUGGAGCCCUCUGCCGUGCCUGAACCCGCCUCUGCGCAAGCACCCGCGGCCGGACAGAGAGCAGGAUCCGGUUCCACAGGCCGUCUCGGGACCCUCAGCCGGGGCUCGCCGGGCCUCCGUGGCUGGAUCGGAGGCUGGAACCCAGCGCGCAUCCGCAUUCUCGGCGGUCCAGGGGAAUGCCCAGUCCGUACCCAACAACUGGGAUGCGUCGCGGACUCGCUUCAUAUUCCAAGGGCCGCCCUUUGGUCCCCAAGCCGGACUGGAAAGGUGACGAGCAUCUGAAGACACCGGCUGCCUACAUCGGCCAGCGGCCUGGGGUGUUCCUGCCCCGAGCGCGCCGCCUUUUUCGGGAGCUGGAGGAAGUGCUGUGUCCUGACCUACGUCCGCCCGUCAAGAAGAUCACCCAAGAAGAGGUCAAAAUGAUGUUAAGUUUGCUGGAGGAGCUUCUCCCACGUGUCUGGGAGACCCCAGCAGCCAGGAACCCUGUUCCCCAAUGGAUGGGGGUCCUUCUGUAGAGAGAGCGGGACCUGAACACGGCAGCCUGCAUUGGUCAGUCCCUGGUGAAACAAAACAGUGUUCUGUUGGAGGAGAACAGCAAGCUGGAAGCCAUGCUGGAUUCAGCCAAGGAGGAGGUACCUGGGUGGGGAGGAGCAGGGAGGGGUGAAUCUCAGGCCUGCUGCCAACCCACUGUGCCAGGGUCUGUGCCUGCCUCUGCCCGCACCUGACCCUGGACUCCUCUUCCCUUGCCAGAUUUUACAUCUCAGACAGCAGAUGAACCUGCGGGAUGACCUCCUUCAGCUGUACUCAGACUCUGAUGAGGAGAAGGAUGAAGAUGAAGAAGAGAAGGAAGAAGGAAGAGAGGAAGAGGAGGAGGGGGACGAAGAAGAAGAGCAGAGGCCUGAGCAUCCCUGUGAAGCCUCAGAGCUGUGAGUGUCCUGCCCUUUUUUUUUUGUUUCUGUUUUCCCCAUGCCUCAUGGCUUUCAGGAUCUCAGUUCCCGGACCAGAGAUUGAGCCUAGCCACAGCAGUGAAAACGCCGCAUCCUAACCGCUGGACCGCCAGGGAAUUCCCCAUGAGUGUCCGGCCUUUGCACCAGGGCAGUCCCUUCUCUGAGCUUCAGUUUCCUUGUUUGGAAACAGGAACGCCAUGUAUCUGCCGUGGGGUGGCUGGGGCUAAUUGAGGCCACCACAUCAGCCUGGGA
RNAcentral lists this long non-coding RNA (1903 nucleotides) under Bos indicus x Bos taurus (hybrid cattle). RNAcentral describes it as "lncRNA (ENSBIXG00005028697.1)". The record is from RNAcentral. Lineage: Eukaryota; Metazoa; Chordata; Mammalia; Artiodactyla; Bovidae.